UCUGGCGGCCUUAGCGCGGUGGUCCCACCUGACCCCAUGCCGAACUCAGAAGUGAAACGCCGUAGCGCCGAUGGUAGUGUGGGGUCUCCCCAUGCGAGAGAAUCAAGCGAAAGGCCAUCC
Molecule: ribosomal RNA, 120 nt
Filed under: Escherichia coli
Lineage: Bacteria; Pseudomonadati; Pseudomonadota; Gammaproteobacteria; Enterobacterales; Enterobacteriaceae
Source: RNAcentral